This 454-nucleotide ribosomal RNA is filed under the name uncultured bacterium. RNAcentral describes it as "bacterial SSU rRNA". It matches the Rfam family "Bacterial small subunit ribosomal RNA", at positions 340 to 784 of the family's 1533-position model. The record is from RNAcentral.
UACGGGAGGCAGCAGUGGGGAAUAUUGCACAAUGGGCGCAAGCCUGAUGCAGCCAUGCCGCGUGUAUGAAGAAGGCCUUCGGGUUGUAAAGUACUUUCAGUCGUGAGGAAGGUGUUAAGGUUAAUAACCUUAGCAAUUGACGUUAGCGACAGAAGAAGCACCGGCUAACUCCGUGCCAGCAGCCGCGGUAAUACGGAGGGUGCGAGCGUUAAUCGGAAUUACUGGGCGUAAAGGGCACGCAGGCGGUUAAUUAAGUUGGAUGUGAAAUCCCCGGGCUUAACCUGGGAAUGGCAUUCAAGACUGGUUAGCUAGAGUCUUGUAGAGGGGGUAGAAUUCCAUGUGUAGCGGUGAAAUGCGUAGAGAUGUGGAGGAAUACCGGUGGCGAAGGCGGCCCCUGGGACAAAGGACUGACGCUCAUGUGCGAAAGCGUGGGGAGCGAAACAGGGAUUAGAUA